RNAcentral lists this transfer RNA (67 nucleotides) under Marmota monax (woodchuck). RNAcentral describes it as "tRNA.Ala". Lineage: Eukaryota; Metazoa; Chordata; Mammalia; Rodentia; Sciuridae. The record is from RNAcentral.
GUUGUAGCUCAGUGUAGAGUGCUUGCCUAGCACAUAUGAGGCCCUGGGUUCAAUCCUCAGCACAACA